This 649-nucleotide ribosomal RNA is filed under the name Hyphomicrobium sulfonivorans. Its description in RNAcentral is "bacterial SSU rRNA". It matches the Rfam family "Bacterial small subunit ribosomal RNA", at positions 65 to 760 of the family's 1533-position model. Lineage: Bacteria; Pseudomonadati; Pseudomonadota; Alphaproteobacteria; Hyphomicrobiales; Hyphomicrobiaceae. The record is from RNAcentral.
AACGCACUCUUCGGAGUGAGUGGCAGACGGGUGAGUAACGCGUGGGAACCUUCCCAAUGGUGCGGAAUAGCCCAGGGAAACUUGGGGUAAUACCGCAUACGCCCUACGGGGGAAAGAUUUAUCGCCAUUGGAUGGGCCCGCGUCGGAUUAGCUUGUUGGUGAGGUAAUGGCUCACCAAGGCAACGAUCCGUAGCUGGUUUGAGAGAAUGACCAGCCACACUGGGACUGAGACACGGCCCAGACUCCUACGGGAGGCAGCAGUGGGGAAUCUUGGACAAUGGGCGAAAGCCUGAUCCAGCCAUGCCGCGUGAGUGACGAAGGCCUUAGGGUUGUAAAGCUCUUUUGGCGGGGACGAUAAUGACGGUACCCGCAGAAUAAGUCCCGGCUAACUUCGUGCCAGCAGCCGCGGUAAUACGAAGGGGACUAGCGUUGUUCGGAAUUACUGGGCGUAAAGCGCACGUAGGCGGAUUUGUUAGUCAGGGGUGAAAUCCCGGGGCUCAACCUCGGAACUGCCUUUGAUACUGCAAGUCUCGAGUCCGAGAGAGGUGGGUGGAAUUCCUAGUGUAGAGGUGAAAUUCGUAGAUAUUAGGAAGAACACCGGUGGCGAAGGCGGCCCACUGGCUCGGUACUGACGCUGAGGUGCGAAAGC